UAGAAAUAGCAGGUAAUACCGAAUACACUCAGUGCUUCAUAAGGGGUAUUGAGGAAAGGAAGCUACGGCUUCGCUUGAGGAUGAGCUUGCGUCCCAUUAGCUAGUUGGUGAGGUAAAGGCCCACCAAGGCGACGAUGGGUAUCCGGCCUGAGAGGGUGAUCGGACACAUUGGGACUGAGAUACGGCCCAAACUCCUACGGGAGGCAGCAGCUAAGAAUAUUCCGCAAUGGACGGAAGUCUGACGGAGCGACGCCGCGUGGAUGAAGAAGGCUGAAAAGUUGUAAAAUCCUUUUGUUGAUGAAGAAUAAGGGUGAGAGGGAAUGCUCAUCUGAUGACGGUAAUCGACGAAUAAGCCCCGGCUAAUUACGUGCCAGCAGCCGCGGUAACACGUAAGGGGCGAGCGUUGUUCGGAAUUAUUGGGCGUAAAGGGCAUGUAGGCGGUUAUGUAAGCCUGAUGUGAAAUCCUGGGGCUUAACCCUAGAAUAGCAUUGGGUACUGUGUAACUUGAAUUACGGAAGGGAAACUGGAAUUCCAAGUGUAGGGGUGGAAUCUGUAGAUAUUUGGAAGAACACCGGUGGCGAAGGCGGGUUUCUGGCCGAUAAUUGACGCUGAGAUGCGAAAGUGUGGGGAUCGAACAGGAUUAGAUACCCUGGUAGUCCACACUGUAAACGAUGUACACUAGGUGUUGGGGCAAGAGCUUCAGUGCCAAAGCAAACGCGAUAAGUGUACCGCCUGGGGAGUAUGCCUGCAAGGGUGAAACUCAAAGGAAUUGACGGGGGCCCGCACAAGCGGUGGAGCAUGUGGUUUAAUUCGAUGGUACGCGAGGAACCUUACCUGGGUUUGACAUCUAGUAGAAGGUCUUAGAGAUAAGGCCGGGUAGCAAUACCCUGCUAGACAGGUGCUGCAUGGCUGUCGUCAGCUCGUGCCGUGAGGUGUUGGGUUAAGUCCCGCAACGAGCGCAACCCCUACUGCCAGUUACUAACAGGUAAAGCUUGAGGACUCUGGCGGAACUGCCGAUGACAAAUCGGAGGAAGGUGGGGAUGACGUCAAGUCAUCAUGGCCCUUAUGUCCAGGGCUACACACGUGCUACAAUGGUUGCUACAAAGCGAAGCGAGACCGUAAGGUGGAGCAAACCGCAAAAAAGCAAUCGUAGUUCGGAUUGAAGUCUGAAACUCGACUUCAUGAAGUUGGAAUCGCUAGUAAUCGCGCAUCAGCACGGCGCGGUGAAUACGUUCCCGGGCCUU
RNAcentral lists this ribosomal RNA (1244 nucleotides) under Treponema medium. Its description in RNAcentral is "bacterial SSU rRNA". It matches the Rfam family "Bacterial small subunit ribosomal RNA", at positions 151 to 1382 of the family's 1533-position model. The record is from RNAcentral. Lineage: Bacteria; Pseudomonadati; Spirochaetota; Spirochaetia; Treponematales; Treponemataceae.